GCCCUGCCGUCUCAGUCAGACGGGACUCCCCCUCCCCGCGCGGUCGCCACAGCCUCCGCCUCCUUCCUCAGCACCAGCGGCCAAACCCGCCGCGGCCGGCGCCAUCUUGGGAGUGACGGAUCCAGCUAUGGCCAACAGACUUGUUUCUUCCUCCCCGGCACUGCCUGCAGACCUAGCCUUGCCAGAGCUUGGUGCAGUGGUCUGAGCUGAGAUCCGCCCACCAAAGUCACUGGGAUUCUGCAGGAAACCCCCUGAGCGGUUAGCAACCACCAGUAGCUUUCAGUCCCGAGACAGAAGGUCAGAGAAAAGGGGGAAUUCAGAGGGGUUCUCUGAAAAGCGCGUUGAUAAAACAGCUAUUGUUAACUGAAGGGGUGUCCAUUACAUUGAUUAAUUGGAUAUGGCCUACUUAAACUAGACUACAGCUCCACCGUUAAUGGCCAUUGGCAAGAUGCCUUUGAAAAAUGUGGAUAAUAAAGGUUGAUUACCUCUACAGGGUUAUUCAGAAAUGUAAAGCGUAUGCCUAAAAAGUAUUGAAUAAUGUUAGCUGGACUUCUACGGACAAAUGAAGAAAAUAGGACCUUUAAAAAAAAAUCCCUCUAGGUUCAAGUUAAUCUAUGCAAAACAGGCUUCAUCUUUUUUACUAACCGAGAUUACAGUUUUAUUUUAUACCUCCACUCCUUCUCUUGGACUCAUUCAUCCAGACAACAUUGUUGGAAAACCCAGCAGAGGGGACACAAUAGUCAGGGAACCAGAAAAGGUCUACUUUCAGGGAGUUGAGGUCUAGUGGGAGAAGCUCAACAAAAAGCAAAUAUACUUCACUCUUGGAGAAGAAACAUAAAGGUUAUAGGAAGAAUUCUGGGUAACAGAUAACAGGAUGGUUUUUGAAACCAGAGUGGUCAAGGCUAUGCCUCUCUGAAGUGCAGGAAGAAGCCAGUAAUGGGAGAAAGGCCCCAGAGAAUUGAGUAAAGCAAAGAGAUCGUGAAGAGAACCUGCAAUGGGGAGGAGCUUGGCAUUUGGAACUGAGAGGAAUCUGUGUUGAUGAGAAAUGUGUCUUGCCUGGAGAAGCCUCACAUUAGAUUGGAGAGGGAGUUGAGAGCUCAGUUGUAAGGGCCUAGAAAUACAUAGAAACAAGACGAGCCUUUAUUCUAACUGCAGGCUGAAGCCACUGAAUGGUAAGUAGGGAACAAAGUGGUUGGGAACAGUGAAUGGUGCUUGAAGGAUAACAUCUAUAUUUAUAUUCUAGACAACAUAUGGACCAGAGAACCUGAUUGAGAGGUUUUUUUAAAUCUUAAGUUUGAGUCCCUUCAACACUGAGUUCACCAAAUAUAGUUCAGAUUGUUUAAAGAUGUGUGGGUAUCACAUAAUAUUAUGUAGAUAAAAAUACACUAAUUUCACCGAAAAUUAUUAAAUAAUACCAUUUUCUAUCCCCACCUCCCACGCAGGGUUUCUUUGUGUAGCCCUGACUGCCCUGGAACUUGCUCUGUAGAACAGUCUGGUCUCAAACUCAGAGACCCACUUUUCUCUGCCUCCCUAGUUCUGAAGGGAUUAGAGGCCUGGCUUAAUACCAUUUAUUUUUAAGCAUUUUAUAUAGCACUUUGUUAUAAUACAUAGUUACCUGUACAAAUUGAUAUUAUUUGAUGUGUAUUUUAUCCUUUUUUUUAUUGAUUUCAGAUAGUAAUCCAAGCUAACCACAGUCUCAGUCACUUUGAUACUGUAAUACCAAUGUGUAAUGUUUGAUAAUCCCAAAUGUAUUUGUAAUAAGUAUUUCUCUUUAUUAUUAUUUUAUGUCCAUCACAUGCAUGCAACACCUGAGGACAUCAAACAAAAACUGAAGUCUUUUAACCCUGGAUAGAUCCUUCCUCUCUGCUGCCAAUGUCAGCCAUGAUGUUUUUAUCCCCAGUGUGAGGGCAUGGCUAUCUGCCAAUCAGUGGGUGAUAGAGAGAGUCUGUAUCAUGAAGGGUACAAAUAAACAUUUGGGGG
Mastomys coucha (southern multimammate mouse) is the source of this 1980-nucleotide long non-coding RNA. RefSeq lists it as uncharacterized. The transcript has 2 exons. Lineage: Eukaryota; Metazoa; Chordata; Mammalia; Rodentia; Muridae. The record is from RefSeq and is a predicted model, not a curated record.